RNAcentral lists this ribosomal RNA (802 nucleotides) under uncultured bacterium. RNAcentral describes it as "bacterial SSU rRNA". It matches the Rfam family "Bacterial small subunit ribosomal RNA", at positions 8 to 811 of the family's 1533-position model. The record is from RNAcentral.
AGAGUUUGAUCCUGGCUCAGGAUGAACGCUGGCGGCGUGCUUAACACAUGCAAGUCGAACGGGAAUUACUUUAUUGAAACUUCGGUCGAUUUAAUUUAAUUCUAGUGGCGGACGGGUGAGUAACGCGUGGGUAACCUGCCUUAUACAGGGGGAUAACAGUCAGAAAUGGCUGCUAAUACCGCAUAAGCGCACAGAGCUGCAUGGCUCAGUGUGAAAAACUCCGGUGGUAUAAGAUGGACCCGCGUUGGAUUAGCUUGUUGGUGGGGUAACGGCCUACCAAGCCGACGAUCAGUAGCCGGCCUGAGAGGGUGAACGGCCACAUUGGGACUGAGACACGGCCCAAACUCCUACGGGAGGCAGCAGUGGGGAAUAUUGCACAAUGGGGGAAACCCUGAUGCAGCGACGCCGCGUGAGUGAAGAAGUAUUUCGGUAUGUAAAGCUCUAUCAGCAGGGAAGAAAGUGACGGUACCUGAAUAAGAAGCCCCGGCUAACUACGUGCCAGCAGCCGCGGUAAUACGUAGGGGGCAAGCGUUAUCCGGAUUUACUGGGUGUAAAGGGAGCGUAGACGGCAAGGCAAGUCUGAAGUGAAAGCCCGGUGCUUAACGCCGGGACUGCUUUGGAAACUGUUUGGCUGGAGUGCCGGAGAGGUAAGCGGAAUUCCUAGUGUAGCGGUGAAAUGCGUAGAUAUUAGGAAGAACACCAGUGGCGAAGGCGGCUUACUGGACGGUAACUGACGUUGAGGCUCGAAAGCGUGGGGAGCAAACAGAAUUAGAUACCCUGGUAGUCCACGCCGUAAACGAUG